This 253-nucleotide ribosomal RNA is filed under the name uncultured bacterium. RNAcentral's name for it is "partial 16S ribosomal RNA". It matches the Rfam family "Bacterial small subunit ribosomal RNA", at positions 524 to 776 of the family's 1533-position model. The record is from RNAcentral.
UACGGGGGGGGCAAGCGUUGUUCGGAAUUACUGGGCGUAAAGGGCGCGUAGGCGGUUGGAUAAGUCAGCUGUGAAAACCACGGGCUUAACUCGUGGCCUGCAGUUGAGACUGUCUGGCUUGAGUGUGGGAGAGGAGAGUGGAAUUCCUGGUGUAGCGGUGAAAUGCGUAGAUAUCAGGAGGAACACCGGUGGCGAAGGCGGCUCUCUGGGACGGUACUGACGCUGAGACGCGAAAGCGUGGGGAGCGAACAGG